UUAAGUUAGUAAGGGCGCACGGUGGAUGCCUUGGCACUAGGAGCCGAAGAAGGACGUGACAAACGACGAAAUGCCUUGGGGAGCUGUAAGUAAGCGUAGAUCCAGGGAUGUCCGAAUGGGGGAACCCAACAGGUAGAUGCCUGUUACCCGUAUCUGUUAAGGAUAUGAGGAGGAAGACGCAGUGAACUGAAACAUCUAAGUAGCUGCAGGAAGAGAAAGCAAAAGCGAUUGCCUUAGUAGCGGCGAGCGAAAUGGCAGGAGGGCAAACCGAAGAGUUUACUCUUCGGGGUUGUAGGACUGCAAUGUGGACUCAAAGAUUAUAGAAGAAUGAUUUGGGAAGAUCAGCCAAAGAGAGUAAGAGCCUCGUAUUUAAAAUAGUCUUUGUACCUAGCAGUAUCCUGAGUACGGCGGGACACGAGAAAUCCCGUCGGAAUCUGGGAGGACCAUCUCCCAACCCUAAAUACUCCCUAGUGACCGAUAGUGAACCAGUACCGUGAGGGAAAGGUGAAAAGCACCCCGGGAGGGGAGUGAAAUAGAACCUGAAACCGUGUGCCUACAACAAGUUCGAGCCCGUUAAUGGGUGAGAGCGUGCCUUUUGUAGAAUGAACCGGCGAGUUACGUUAUGAUGCGAGGUUAAGUUGAAGAGACGGAGCCGUAGGGAAACCGAGUCUGAAUAGGGCGACUUAGUAUCAUGAUGUAGACCCGAAACCAUGUGACCUACCCAUGAGCAGGUUGAAGGUGCGGUAAAACGCACUGGAGGACCGAACCAGGGCACGUUGAAAAGUGCUUGGAUGACUUGUGGGUAGCGGAGAAAUUCCAAACGAACUUGGAGAUAGCUGGUUCUCUCCGAAAUAGCUUUAGGGCUAGCGUCGACAUAAAGAUUCUUGGAGGUAGAGCACUGUUUGGGUGAGGGGUCCAUCCCGGAUUACCAAUCUCAGAUAAACUCCGAAUGCCAAAGAAUUAUGGUCGGCAGUCAGACUGCGAGUGCUAAGAUCCGUAGUCGAAAGGGAAACAGCCCAGACCACCAGCUAAGGUCCCAAAAUAAUUGUUAAGUGGAAAAGGAUGUGGGGUUGCACAGACAACUAGGAUGUUAGCUUAGAAGCAGCUAUUCAUUCAAAGAGUGCGUAAUAGCUCACUAGUCGAGUGACCCUGCGCCGAAAAUGUACCGGGGCUAAAACAAUUUACCGAAGCUGUGGAUACCUUUAUAGGUAUGGUAGGAGAGCGUUCUAUGUGUGGAGAAGGUGUACCGUGAGGAGCGCUGGAACGCAUAGAAGUGAGAAUGCCGGUAUGAGUAGCGAAAGACAGGUGAGAAUCCUGUCCACCGUAAGACUAAGGUUUCCAGGGGAAGGCUCGUCCGCCCUGGGUUAGUCGGGACCUAAGGAGAGACCGAAAGGUGUAUCCGAUGGACAACAGGUUGAUAUUCCUGUACUAGAGUAUGUAGUGAUGGAGGGACGCAGUAGGCUAACUAAAGCAGACGAAUGGAAGUGUCUGUCUAAGCAGUGAGGUGUGAAUUGAGUCAAAUGCUUAAUUCUAUAACAUUGAGCUGUGAUGGGGAGCGAAGUUUAGUAGCGAAGUUAGUGACGUCACACUGCCAAGAAAAGCUUCUAGCGUUAAACAUACUCUACCCGUACCGCAAACCGACACAGGUAGUCGAGGCGAGUAGCCUCAGGUGAUCGAGAGAACUCUCGUUAAGGAACUCGGCAAAAUGACCCCGUAACUUCGGGAGAAGGGGUGCUGGCUUAAAGUCAGCCGCAGUGAAUAGGCCCAAGCAACUGUUUAUCAAAAACACAGCUCUCUGCUAAAUCGUAAGAUGAUGUAUAGGGGGUGACGCCUGCCCGGUGCUGGAAGGUUAAGAGGAGUGCUUAGACGUAAGUCGAAGGUAUGAAUUGAAGCCCCAGUAAACGGCGGCCGUAACUAUAACGGUCCUAAGGUAGCGAAAUUCCUUGUCGGGUAAG
Molecule: ribosomal RNA, 1955 nt
Filed under: human oral metagenome
Description: bacterial LSU rRNA
Rfam family: Bacterial large subunit ribosomal RNA
Source: RNAcentral